This 690-nucleotide ribosomal RNA is filed under the name uncultured Acidobacteriota bacterium. RNAcentral describes it as "bacterial SSU rRNA". It matches the Rfam family "Bacterial small subunit ribosomal RNA", at positions 15 to 739 of the family's 1533-position model. The record is from RNAcentral. Lineage: Bacteria; Pseudomonadati; Acidobacteriota.
GAUCCUGGCUCAGAAUCAACGCUGGCGGCGCGCUUAACACAUGCAAGUCGAACGAGAAAGCCCGCAAGGGUGAGUAAAGUGGCGUACGGGUGAGUAACACGUGGGUAAUCUACCUUUUGGUGGGGAAUAACCCUGGGAAACCGGGGCUAAUACCGCAUAAGCUCGAAAGAGGAAAGGAGCAAUUCGCCGAAAGAGGAGCCCGCGGCUGAUUAGCUAGUUGGUGAGGUAAAGGCUCACCAAGGCUAUGAUCGGUAGCCGGCCUGAGAGGGCACACGGCCACACUGGCACUGAAACACGGGUCAGACUCCUACGGGAGGCAGCAGUGGGGAAUCUUGCACAAUGGGGGAAACCCUGAUGCAGCGACGCCGCGUGAGUGAUGACGCCCUUCGGGGUGUAAAGCUCUUUCGGCAGGGACGAUAAUGACGGUACCUGAAGAAGAAGCUGCGGCUAACUACGUGCCAGCAGCCGCGGUAAUACGUAGGCAGCGAGCGUUGUUCGGAGUUACUGGGCGUAAAGAGUGCGUAGGCGGUUUUCUAAGUUUGGUGUGAAAUCUCCCGGCUUAACUGGGAGGGUGCGCCGAAGACUGGAAGGCUUGAGUAUGGGAGAGGUAAGCGGAAUUCCUGGUGUAGCGGUGAAAUGCGUAGAUAUCAGGAGGAACACCUGCGGUGUAGACGGCUUACUGGACCAUAA